AUUGAACGCUGGCGGCAGGCCUAACACAUGCAAGUCGAACGGUAACAGGAAGAAGCUUGCUUCUUUGCUGACGAGUGGCGGACGGGUGAGUAAUGUCUGGGAAACUGCCUGAUGGAGGGGGAUAACUACUGGAAACGGUAGCUAAUACCGCAUAACGUCGCAAGACCAAAGAGGGGGACCUUCGGGCCUCUUGCCAUCGGAUGUGCCCAGAUGGGAUUAGCUAGUAGGUGGGGUAACGGCUCACCUAGGCGACGAUCCCUAGCUGGUCUGAGAGGAUGACCAGGCAACACUGGACUGAGGCACGGUCCAGACUCCUACGGGAGGCAGCAGUGGGGAAUAUUGCACAAUGGGCGCAAGCCUGAUGCAGCCAUGCCGCGUGUAUGAAGAAGGCCUUCGGGUUGUAAAGUACUUUCAGCGGGGAGGAAGGGAGUAAAGUUAAUACCUUUGCUCAUUGACGUUACCCGCAGAAGAAGCACCGGCUAACUCCGUG
This 490-nucleotide ribosomal RNA is filed under the name uncultured bacterium. RNAcentral describes it as "partial 16S ribosomal RNA". It matches the Rfam family "Bacterial small subunit ribosomal RNA", at positions 30 to 507 of the family's 1533-position model. The record is from RNAcentral.